GACAGAGGGUGCAAACGUUGCUCGGAAUCACUGGGCGUAAAGGGCGUGUAGGCGGGACAGUAAGUCGGGCGUGAAAUCCCUGGGCUCAACCCAGGAACUGCACUCGAAACUACUAUUCUUGAGUGUCGGAGAGGAAAGCGGAAUUCCUGGUGUAGAGGUGAAAUUCGUAGAUAUCAGGAGGAACACCAGUGGCGAAGGCGGCUUUCUGGACGAUAACUGACGCUGAGACGCGAAAGCGUGGGGAGCAAACAG
This 252-nucleotide ribosomal RNA is filed under the name uncultured bacterium. RNAcentral describes it as "partial 16S ribosomal RNA". It matches the Rfam family "Bacterial small subunit ribosomal RNA", at positions 524 to 775 of the family's 1533-position model. The record is from RNAcentral.